GUGAACGCUGGCGGUAGGCCUAACACAUGCAAGUCGAACGGCAGCACAGUAAGAGCUUGCUCUUCCGGGUGGCGAGUGGCGGACGGGUGAGGAAUACAUCGGAAUCUACUUUUUCGUGGGGGAUAACGUAGGGAAACUUACGCUAAUACCGCAUACGACCUACGGGUGAAAGCAGGGGAUCUUCGGACCUUGCGCGAUUGGAUGAGCCGAUGUCGGAUUAGCUAGUUGGCGGGGUAAAGGCCCACCAAGGCGACGAUCCGUAGCUGGCCUGAGAGGAUGAUCAGCCACACUGGAACUGAGACACGGUCCAGACUCCUACGGGAGGCAGCAGUGGGGAAUAUUGGACAAUGGGCGCAAGCCUGAUCCAGCCAUACCGCGUGGGUGAAGAAGGCCUUCGGGUUGUAAAGCCCUUUUGUUGGGAAAGAAAAGCAGCAGGUUAAUACCCCGCUGUUCCGACGGUACCCAAAGAAUAAGCACCGGCUAACUUCGUG
RNAcentral lists this ribosomal RNA (491 nucleotides) under uncultured bacterium. RNAcentral's name for it is "partial 16S ribosomal RNA". It matches the Rfam family "Bacterial small subunit ribosomal RNA", at positions 29 to 507 of the family's 1533-position model. The record is from RNAcentral.